GAUGAACGCUAGCUACAGGCUUAACACAUGCAAGUCGAGGGGAAACGACAUCGAAAGCUUGCUUUUGAUGGGCGUCGACCGGCGCACGGGUGAGUAACGCGUAUCCAACCUGCCCAUCACUUGGGGAUAACCUUGCGAAAGUAAGACUAAUACCCAAUGAUAUCUCUAGAAGACAUCUGAAAGAGAUUAAAGAUUUAUCGGUGAUGGAUGGGGAUGCGCCUGAUUAGCUUGUUGGCGGGGUAACGGCCCACCAAGGCAACGAUCAGUAGGGGUUCUGAGAGGAAGGUCCCCCACAUUGGAACUGAGACACGGUCCAAACUCCUACGGGAGGCAGCAGUGAGGAAUAUUGGUCAAUGGGCGAGAGCCUGAACCAGCCAAGUAGCGUGCAGGAAGACGGCCCUAUGGGUUGUAAACUGCUUUUAUAAGGGAAUAAAGUGAGAGUCGUGACUCUUUUUGUAUGUACCUUAUGAAUAAGGACCGGCUAAUUCCGU
Molecule: ribosomal RNA, 491 nt
Filed under: uncultured bacterium
Lineage: Bacteria
Description: partial 16S ribosomal RNA
Rfam family: Bacterial small subunit ribosomal RNA
Source: RNAcentral